This 62-nucleotide transfer RNA is filed under the name Chelurotropella siamensis. RNAcentral describes it as "tRNA-Glu". Lineage: Eukaryota; Metazoa; Arthropoda; Insecta; Hemiptera; Urostylididae. The record is from RNAcentral.
AUUUAUAUAGUUAAAAUAUAACAUAUCAUUUUCAAUGAUAAAUUAAGAAUUCUUUAUAAAUA